GAUGAACGCUGGCGGCGUGCCUAAUACAUGCAAGUCGAGCGAACAGAUAAGGAGCUUGCUCCUUUGACGUUAGCGGCGGACGGGUGAGUAACACGUGGGUAACCUACCUAUAAGACUGGGAUAACUUCGGGAAACCGGAGCUAAUACCGGAUAAUAUUUCGAACCGCAUGGUUCGAUAGUGAAAGAUGGUUUUGCUAUCACUUAUAGAUGGACCCGCGCCGUAUUAGCUAGUUGGUAAGGUAACGGCUUACCAAGGCGACGAUACGUAGCCGACCUGAGAGGGUGAUCGGCCACACUGGAACUGAGACACGGUCCAGACUCCUACGGGAGGCAGCAGUAGGGAAUCUUCCGCAAUGGGCGAAAGCCUGACGGAGCAACGCCGCGUGAGGGAUGAAGGUCUUCGGAUCGUAAAACUCUGUUAUUAGGGAAGAACAUACGUGUAAGUAACUGUGCACGUCUUGACGGUACCUAAUCAGAAAGCCACGGCUAACUACGUG
This 497-nucleotide ribosomal RNA is filed under the name uncultured bacterium. RNAcentral's name for it is "partial 16S ribosomal RNA". It matches the Rfam family "Bacterial small subunit ribosomal RNA", at positions 28 to 507 of the family's 1533-position model. The record is from RNAcentral.